This 1981-nucleotide ribosomal RNA is filed under the name human gut metagenome. RNAcentral describes it as "bacterial LSU rRNA". It matches the Rfam family "Bacterial large subunit ribosomal RNA", at positions 3 to 2078 of the family's 2925-position model. The record is from RNAcentral.
UCAAGCUAAAAAGGGCGCAAGGUGAAUGCCUUGGCACUGGGAGCCGAUGAAAGACGUGGUAAGCUGCGAAAAGCUUCGGGGAGGAGCAAACAUCCAUUGAUCCGGAGAUAUCUGAAUGGGGCAACCCAAUGGAGUUCAUACUCCAUUAUCCAAUACUGAAUCCAUAGGUAUUGGAAGGGAACCGCCUGAACUGAAACAUCUAAGUAGGGCGAGGAAGAGACAUCAAACGAGAUUCCGUAAGUAGUGGCGAGCGAACGCGGAAGAGGGCAAACCGAGAGGAGAAAUCCUUUCGGGGUACGGACUGCUUUUAGGGCUGGAAGAGUUAACAGAAUGGCAUGGGAAGGCCAACCGAAGAGUGUGAGAGUCACGUAAGUAAAAAUUCUGACAGCUGCGCAGGAUCCAGAGUACGGCCAGACACGUGAAACCUGGUCGGAAUAUGGGGGGACCACCCUCCAACCCUAAAUACUACCCAGUGACCGAUAGCGUAUAGUACUGUGAAGGAAAGGUGAAAAGGACCCCGGGAGGGGAGUGAAAGAGAACCUGAAACCUUGUGCCUACAAGCACAUAGAGCCCGUCAAAGGGUGAUAUGGUACUUUUUGUAGAACGGUCCGGCGAGCGAUUGUACGUUGCGAGCUUAAGGUCUUAAGGACUGGAGGCGUAGCGAGAGCGAGUCUAAACAGGGCGUUUAGUAGCGUGCAAUGGGCCCGAAACCGGGUGACCUACCCAUGAUCAGGCUGAAGUGAAAGUAAAAUUUCAUGGAGGGCCGAACCGACCUCCGUUGAAAAGGCGGCGGAUGAAUUGUGGGUAGCGGAGAAAUUCCAAUCGAACUCGGAGAUAGCUGGUUCUCCCCGAAAUAGCUUUAGGGCUAGCCUCAUGUUAGAUAUCCGGAGGUAAAGCACUGAAUGGCCUAGCGUCCGAGAGGAUAGCGAAGCCUAUCAAACUAAGAAUGCCGGAAUAUUGAUGCAUGGGAGUCAGACAGUGUGAGAUAAAUCUCAUUGUCAAAAGGGAAACAGCCCAGAUCUACAGCUAAGGUCCCAAAUUGUAUCUAAGUGGAAAACGAUGUGGAAAUACGCAGACAACCAGGAUGUUGGCUCAGAAGCAGCCACUCAUUUAAAGAGUGCGUAAUAGCUCACUGGUCGAGCGUCUCUGCGCGGAAAAUUUAACGGGGCUAAGAUACAAACCGAAGCUUAGGCUGCAUACGGAAGUAUGCGGGGUAGGGGAGCGUUGUGUAAGCGGAGAAACAGUAGCGGAAGCGGCUGUGGAGUUUACAGAAGUGAGAAUGCCGGAAUGAGUAGCGCGAAUGAUGUGAGAAUCAUCAUGGCCGGAAACCUCAGGUUUUUGGAGGAAGGUUCGUCCGCUCCAAGUUAGGCGGGAGCUAAGGUGAGGCCGAAAGGCGUAGCCGAUGCACAGACGGUAGAGAUUCCGUCCCCACCGAAAGAUUUAAGCGCAGGGACACUUUUAGAAGGUCGGAGCCAGGUGUUGGUUCUGGUAGAGAUCGAGGGAAGAUUAGUACCGAAGUCCGGCUGGAUAAGAGGCGAGAAAAGCUGCGUGUAUAUCUAAGGUGCCCGUACCGCAAACCGACACAGGUAGGUAGGAAGAAGAUUCUAAGGCCAACGGGAGAAGGGUUGUUAAGGAACUCGGCAAGUUGACCCCGUAACUUCGGAAUAAGGGGUGCUCAUGAAAGUGAGCCGCAGAGAAUAGGCCCAGGCAACUGUUUACCAAAAACACAGGUUUGUGCUAAAUCGAAAGAUGACGUAUACGAGCUGACGCCUGCCCGGUGCUGGAAGGUUAAAAGGAGAUGUGCAAGCAUUGAAUUGAAGCCCCAGUGAACGGCGGCCGUAACUAUAACGGUCCUAAGGUAGCGAAAUUCCUUGUCAGGUAAGUUCUGACCCGCAUGAAAGGCGUAAUGAUCUGGGCACUGUCUCAACAGCCCGCCCGGCGAAAUUGUAGUACCGGUGAAGAUGCCGGUUACCCGCGACAA